GGGUGACCAGGGCCAUCUGGGACUGCCUCCUAAGGGAAUUCAGGCGUGUGAAGGCUACCUGUGUCCUGCAUAACUUAAUGAGGAUGGACACGAGGACCAGCAGGGGAUCUGUAGCUCGCCGUUGUGUGCCGGAGGAGAGGUCUGCUGCUCUGCAGGAUAUUUCAAGGAUUGGGGGGUCAACAACGCAGCACGGGAGGCAAUCCGUGUGCGGGAGAUCUUCACUCCCUACUUCUUCAGAGGGUUAUAUCAGCUGUCUCGGUGAACCCCUCCCGCAUCUGAACUGGCUACAUACAGGGCACAGCAUGAUGAGAGGUAUGUUUUGAUGUGAGAGGUUGCCAACCCCCCAGUCCUGUCAUCGCCACCUCACCUGCUCUGAAGAUAACCUUUGGGCCAACUGGGGGCCCAAGGCUGGUUAGUAGACACCAUGUAAUUGUGAUGAACGGAGAGAAUAUUAAGUUUAGUAGCACUAAUUCAUUAAUCAUAUGCUGUCUUCCCUGCUCCUCACUUCUUACCACUGUCCCUUUGUCUUUUACACCUCCCUUCUUUCUCUGUUUUUAUAAUGCACACCAGAUGUGCAUUGCAGUACUUCUUUCAAUAAAGUGUUUCACAUUCUCUGCUGGUUGAAAGUAAGUCUCUCAUUUGAUUAAAUACUACACCUAUCCUGUGUCCUCAGAUCAGUGCAGAUGAAGGAAAUUAGAUAUUGAGAUGAACAGGUUUUAGAGUAUUUACACGACGCAUAGAAGUUUAGUGUACUAUUUAUUUUAUUCUGUAUAUAUGAAUUACAAAUCAAUCUUUAACUAGUUAAAUCAUAUUUCUAGUCUUGCAUAGUUACAGUAUGUAACCAUUGAUGUCCCAGGACCAGGAUUGGUAAACACUUUUAAAGUGUAUAAUUGUAAUACAUACACGCAGGUAGAUACAGCAUCAUUCAAAGA
This is a long non-coding RNA of Salvelinus namaycush (lake trout), 932 nucleotides long. RefSeq lists it as uncharacterized. The transcript is spliced from 3 exons. The record is from RefSeq and is a predicted model, not a curated record. NCBI's taxonomy places the organism in Eukaryota, Metazoa, Chordata, Actinopteri, Salmoniformes, Salmonidae.